This is a long non-coding RNA of Exaiptasia diaphana, 373 nucleotides long. RefSeq lists it as uncharacterized. The record is from RefSeq and is a predicted model, not a curated record. The transcript is spliced from 4 exons. NCBI's taxonomy places the organism in Eukaryota, Metazoa, Cnidaria, Anthozoa, Actiniaria, Aiptasiidae.
ACACACCCUUGAUCAUAGGACUCCACAGCAGGAAGGGAAGCUACUUCGAGUAACCGAGACAAAGUUUCUGUCACAUUUAUUGCUAGUGAUUUAUAAGGAGCCGAGUUUAAACGAUACCAGCUGCAUAACAGGAACUUCGACGAAGUAUUCAAGCAAGCUGACAAAGUUCGCACUUGUACCUGUCAAUCAUUAACACACCCUUGAUCGCAUAGCUGCACAGCAGGACAGAAAACUUCGACAAAGUAUUCAAGCAAGCAGACAAAGAUUGGAACUCAUCUAGUGAGCAGAUAUAUGAUUGUAUGAUAUAUCAAAAUAUUGUUGAAGGAUGGAUGAAGAAGAAAGGUAUGAUUACUGACAUACAAACAACCAAAAA